CAUCGGGUUUCUUAAAGACAGCUUGCUCCUCGUCGCACCACAGCGCUCGGCGCCUCCCGCGUCGCCAGGUGUCCACGGAUAACUUUGCAAAAUAGUCCUCCAUUUUUCCUCAAAUUAACUCGCAGUCCCAACUUCAGACCUAACGCAACUCCUCCCUCGUCCUUCUCUCCUCUCCUCCACCGCCGCCGUCGCACCUCGCGGCUGCGCGCGCCUCCCAGCUCGCCGCCUCCAAUCCAGCACGGUUGCCGCCACCUCUCCUCAUCUCCCUCUCAUCUCCAUGGCGAGCGGCCCCUUCCCUUGCCGAGCAGUGGAUGCCUAUUCCCACAGGCACUAUGCUCCGACCACCUCUGCUCCUACCGUGGAUCCACGACGACGACUGGGCCCGCCGUGCCGUCGGAAGGUUGGAGGAGGCCUAGGCGUAGUGCUCCACCAGGUAGCUCUUCUUCCCUUCCCACGAGAUGCAUAGCACUACCAGCAAAUCGAAAGCUUGCACAACUCAAGCGUCUUUUGCUCUCUCCUUUCCCCCCACCGAAGCAAGAAGCAACACCAACUCUGGCGUCCUUUGCUCCAAUUGAUUUGCAUCCCAAAUGGAUGGAACAGACCUGAAUCACCUCCUCCCGAUUUGAUCCGCCUGCUAACCGAUCUGAGCCAUGGCCCUAGCUAGGCUGAGGCUCUUAGCUUCUUGCCCUUGGAUUCUUGGUGUGGAGGCGAAACUGGUGAAGGGGAUGGACUCGCUCGCCGCGAUGACCAAGAAGCUGGUGACGACCUUGGCAAAGGUUGGUGAUCAUGAGGAAUUGAGGAUAUCUCACACAGGUUAGAACUGACUUAAUGCCUGUGGACUUGGAUAGGAGGUUGCAUAUGUCUCUGCAAAGGUUUCACAGGUAUAACUAAAUGUAAUUGUGCUCAGUUGAAAUUGUUACUUUAGGAUUCAGAGCAUUUUUUUUCAUACAGUAAAAAGAUUUUCCUCAUGGCAAUCAUGUUCACGUGUUCCAUGGAGCUUAGUAACCUGUGAGCAUUUACAACAAAUCUUCCCUCAUGGCUUGUUAGUAUGAAGUUUAAUAUUGCUGGGUUAAUUUUGUGGGUUGCUUGGUGUGAUUUUGCAUGCCGUGGUCUAAAAUGUACUUACUGUAUACCUAUAAGCAAUUUCAUCAAAUAGAAAUAUUUGAAAUUACUGCCUAGGCGCCUCCGAUAAUCCACAAACCAGUACGAAGUAGGGCUGCUUUCUUGAAUGUUCUAUCUUUGGGGGGACUUCAUCUUGUCAGUUGAUUCUCUUAGCAUCUUUCUUGUCCCUAUUGAUCUGCACCAUUCACAAGGGCAGGAGCAGUAUUUUUUUAAGUGAAAUACUUUCAAAUCGGUUACCCAUGCGCAGGGGAAGGGAGAACAGGUAGGCACUUCACUGAAAAUGCUUAACCAAACAUUCAUUUCAAAUUGGGUGCCCAUACAUAGGGAAAGGAAAACUAAGUAGGCAAUUUUGAAAUGCAUAACCAAAAAAAUUAGACAACUUGGAGAAAAUGCAUAACCAGAUUGAUGUUGUCGAUCAGGAUUUUUUUAAGUAAGUCCCCAGCAGGAUAAUUAUUAGCAAGAGUGUAUGAUGAUCUUAUAAUAAUUGCAUCAGGAUCAUUGAUCUCUUAUUUCAUGAACUGUGUGGUUUCACCUGAAAAGAAACUUGGCUUCACAUAUCAAGCUGUCUAAAACAUGUGUUUGUAAAGUUUGACAUUUUUGUUCCUGCAGCUUGAUACAAUAUAAAAAAUAAAACCAUACUUCUAUUUCUGAAAUUUAGCUUACUGAGAUAUGCAACUGGGAUCCACGUUGAACAAUCAGGCAUGAUUUAUUCGCUUGACUUGUGCUUCUCAAGUUUUGCUUGCUAUGUUCUGUUACCUCUGCACAAAUGGUACUUGAUUCUAUCAAUGAAUGUUUGGUGUCAACAGAAGUUGCUCUGUAUAUAGACAACUGCCUCUAAUAUCAUAAAAAAUACCUACCUCUAAAACUUGUACAGCCAUCACACUAAAAUGGCAAAUUGUAAUUGGCCUACAAUUAGAUUAUCAGCAUGCCUGGCACUGUUGGUGCUUUUUGUUGCCUUUAAUUGAUAUUAUUUUAUCUUUGUUCUACUAAUAUGUAGAGAUCGCUUGAAUAAAAAAUGAUAACCGGCAAGUUUGAAUUGAUGUCAUUGAGGCUAGGUUCUCCCUGAAUUUAGAAAGAGAAGAAUUGUAGCCUUAGUCUUCUGGGCUUGCCAUUUUCUUCUUGUGAAUCGAAUACACCAUGCUCAUUGGUCAUUGCAGUAAUAUAUGUUUGUAGAGAUUUCACUGUAUUUAUACAGUUUGGUACAAAAAUAUGUGUAAGUUCAUUUUCUUACUUAGUCUGACAAUGGUAGCAUUAUUAUGUACGUAAUGGUUAUUGUCACUGCAGUGCAAGCAAGGAUGGCUAGCACAAGAAGACGAUGCACUCCUUCUGUCUACUCAUUGCUCGCUACUUGGCCCGUUUAGAGCUUGUGUCAAACAACUAGAUCUAUUUUUGAAAAUUUAAUAGUAACCUUCCUUUUGUUUCGUAAACUUUAUUUAGUACAUUGCAUGUUUUUAUUUGAAGUUUUGGAUCCAUAUUCCAAGAUACCGGCGGAGAUGUUCAAAUUUAACUGUCCUGUGAAAUAGACUGUCAUUUUAAGACAUCUAGCAUGCAUUCCUUUCUCUAUA
Long non-coding RNA from Panicum virgatum (switchgrass), 2687 nucleotides. RefSeq lists it as uncharacterized. The transcript has 2 exons. The record is from RefSeq and is a predicted model, not a curated record. NCBI's taxonomy places the organism in Eukaryota, Viridiplantae, Streptophyta, Magnoliopsida, Poales, Poaceae.